This 497-nucleotide ribosomal RNA is filed under the name uncultured bacterium. RNAcentral describes it as "partial 16S ribosomal RNA". It matches the Rfam family "Bacterial small subunit ribosomal RNA", at positions 28 to 507 of the family's 1533-position model. The record is from RNAcentral.
GAUGAACGCUGGCGGCGUGCCUAAUACAUGCAAGUCGAGCGAACGGACGAGAAGCUUGCUUCUCUGAUGUUAGCGGCGGACGGGUGAGUAACACGUGGAUAACCUACCUAUAAGACUGGGAUAACUUCGGGAAACCGGAGCUAAUACCGGAUAAUAUUUUGAACCGCAUGGUUCAAAAGUGAAAGACGGUCUUGCUGUCACUUAUAGAUGGAUCCGCGCUGCAUUAGCUAGUUGGUAAGGUAACGGCUUACCAAGGCAACGAUGCAUAGCCGACCUGAGAGGGUGAUCGGCCACACUGGAACUGAGACACGGUCCAGACUCCUACGGGAGGCAGCAGUAGGGAAUCUUCCGCAAUGGGCGGAAGCCUGACGGAGCAACGCCGCGUGAGUGAUGAAGGUCUUCGGAUCGUAAAACUCUGUUAUUAGGGAAGAACAUAUGUGUAAGUAACUGUGCACAUCUUGACGGUACCUAAUCAGAAAGCCACGGCUAACUACGUA